AAAGAGGUAAGCUAAAAAAGCUGAUAGACUCAUAAUCUAUCUAUAGGGUCCCUUCUCUUUA
This 61-nucleotide transfer RNA is filed under the name Lepeophtheirus salmonis (salmon louse). RNAcentral's name for it is "tRNA-Met". Lineage: Eukaryota; Metazoa; Arthropoda; Copepoda; Siphonostomatoida; Caligidae. The record is from RNAcentral.